CAGCAGCCACGGUAAAACGUAGGUGGCAAGCGUUGUCCGGAAUUAUUGGGCGUAAAGCGCGCGCAGGUGGUUUAAUAAGUCUGAUGUGAAAGCCCACGGCUCAACCGUGGAGGGUCAUUGGAAACUGUUAAACUUGAGUGCAGGAGAGAAAAGUGGAAUUCCUAGUGUAGCGGUGAAAUGCGUAGAGAUUAGGAGGAACACCAGUGGCGAAGGCGGCUUUUUGGCCUGUAACUGACACUGAGGCGCGAAAGCGUGGGGAGCAUACAGGAUUAGAUACCCCCGUAGUCCCUGUCUCUUAUAA
This 301-nucleotide ribosomal RNA is filed under the name uncultured bacterium. RNAcentral's name for it is "partial 16S ribosomal RNA". It matches the Rfam family "Bacterial small subunit ribosomal RNA", at positions 509 to 809 of the family's 1533-position model. The record is from RNAcentral.